GUGGGGAAUAUUGCGCAAUGGGGGAAACCCUGACGCAGCAACGCCGCGUGAUUGAAGAAGGCCUUCGGGUUGUAAAGAUCUUUAAUUGGGGACGAAAUAAAUGACGGUACCCAAAGAAUAAGCUUCGGCUAACUACGUGCCAGCAGCCGCGGUAAUACGUAGGGAGCUAGAGUUAUCCGGAUUUACUGGGUGUAAAGGGCGAGUAGGAGGGCCGACAAGUUGGGAGUGAAAUCCGGGGGCUUAACCCCCGAACUGCUUUCAAAACUGUUGGUCUUGAGUGAUGGAGAGGCAGGCGGAAUUCCCAGUGUAGCGGUGAAAUGCGUAGAUAUUGGGAGGAACACCAGUGGCGAAGGCGGCCUGCUGGACAUUAACUGACGCUGAGGCGCGAAAGCGUGGGGAGCAAACAGGAUUAGAAACCCGAGUAGUCC
Molecule: ribosomal RNA, 428 nt
Filed under: uncultured bacterium
Lineage: Bacteria
Description: partial 16S ribosomal RNA
Rfam family: Bacterial small subunit ribosomal RNA
Source: RNAcentral